AUGUGGUUUAAUUCGAUGAUACGCGAGGAACCUUACCUGGGCUAGAACGCAUUCGGAAUCAGGCCGAAAGGCCUGCGCCAGCGAUGGCCGCUUGCGAGGUGCUGCAUGGUUGUCGUCAGCUCGUGCCGUGAGGUGUCGGGUUAAGUCCCAUAACGAGCGCAACCCCUACUGCUAGUUGCCAGCGGGUCAUGCCGGGGACUCUAGCGGAACUGCCAGCGUAAGCUGCGAGGAAGGUGGGGAUGACGUCAAAUCAGCACGGCCCUUACGUCCAGGGCUACACACGUGUUACAAUGGCCGGUACAGAGGGCAGCCACCCCGCGAGGGGGCGCGAAUCCCGAAAGCCGGUCCCAGUUCGGAUCGGAGUCUGCAACCCGACUCCGUGAAGCUGGAUUCGCUAGUAAUCGCGCAUCAGCCACGGCGCGGUGAAUACGUUCCCGGGCCUU
This 443-nucleotide ribosomal RNA is filed under the name uncultured Rikenellaceae bacterium. RNAcentral's name for it is "bacterial SSU rRNA". It matches the Rfam family "Bacterial small subunit ribosomal RNA", at positions 939 to 1382 of the family's 1533-position model. The record is from RNAcentral. Lineage: Bacteria; Pseudomonadati; Bacteroidota; Bacteroidia; Bacteroidales; Rikenellaceae.